UUGGCUUAAACUCAAUGAGUAAGGAAACUAGCGCCCUACCUGACAAGUAGGGUAGUCAUGGGUCGAGCGACCCGUGAUUCCAUUUUUGACGGAGGUGGAAUGGCCGUCUGGUGACUGUCGCCCUACUUUGGCUGACGGCGCCGGCGGUUGGUCCCCGCC
RNAcentral lists this small nuclear RNA (159 nucleotides) under Pythium aphanidermatum DAOM BR444. Its description in RNAcentral is "snRNA EPrPAph00000013105". It matches the Rfam family "U12 minor spliceosomal RNA". Rfam says of the family: Although the U12 sequence is very divergent from that of U2, the two are functionally analogous. Lineage: Eukaryota; Oomycota; Peronosporomycetes; Pythiales; Pythiaceae. The record is from RNAcentral.